GGGGAUUUGGCUCAGUGGUAGAGCGCUUGCCUAGCAAGCUCAAGACCCUGGGUUCGGUCCCCAGCUCCG
RNAcentral lists this transfer RNA (69 nucleotides) under Rattus norvegicus (Norway rat). It matches the Rfam family "tRNA". From Rfam's summary of the family: Transfer RNA (tRNA) molecules are approximately 80 nucleotides in length. Lineage: Eukaryota; Metazoa; Chordata; Mammalia; Rodentia; Muridae. The record is from Rfam by way of RNAcentral.